This 73-nucleotide ribozyme is filed under the name human gut metagenome. RNAcentral describes it as "HDV ribozyme from F. prausnitzii". It matches the Rfam family "HDV ribozyme from F. prausnitzii". The record is from Rfam by way of RNAcentral.
GCUGCUCGUAAUAAUCACACACCUCUUCCUGGGAACACCAGUCUACGAUCGUAUGAUCGGCGAAGAUGUGAUG